AUAAAAGAAUAGCAUACAUAAUAAAAAUAAUACAAUCUGUUGAGGAAUUAAUGAUACAAUAUUCUAAAAAAAAUACAAAUUGACUGUGAAAGAAAUAUGAUACAUCUAUGUUUAAGAAAUACAAAUCAAUUUGGCAUACCAACUGGAAUGACUACAAACUAAAAAAAAUUACAAUGUUCUUAAUAAAAAUAUAAAUGUUGAGUAAAAGAAAAACAAUUGACAAACAAAAAUUAAUAUGAAUACAAUUUUUGCAACCUUCUUCUCCAUUCUCUCAUUCUUUGCAACCUUCUUCUCCGAUUCUCUCUCUUUUUUUCUUCUUCUUCACGAAAGU
Molecule: long non-coding RNA, 331 nt
Filed under: Solanum tuberosum (potato)
Lineage: Eukaryota; Viridiplantae; Streptophyta; Magnoliopsida; Solanales; Solanaceae
Description: long non-coding RNA (STUB_LNC002840)
Source: RNAcentral